UACGAAGGGGGCUAGCGUUGCUCGGAAUGACUGGGCGUAAAGGGCGCGUAGGCGGACGGCUUUGUCGGGCGUGAAAUUCCAGGGCUUAACCUUGGGGCUGCGUUCGAGACGGGUUGUCUAGAGUUUGGAAGAGGGUCGUGGAAUUCCCAGUGUAGAGGUGAAAUUCGUAGAUAUUGGGAAGAACACCGGUGGCGAAGGCGGCGACCUGGUCCUUGACUGACGCUGAGGCGCGAAAGCGUGGGUAGCAAACGGG
This 253-nucleotide ribosomal RNA is filed under the name uncultured bacterium. Its description in RNAcentral is "partial 16S ribosomal RNA". It matches the Rfam family "Bacterial small subunit ribosomal RNA", at positions 524 to 776 of the family's 1533-position model. The record is from RNAcentral.